RNAcentral lists this ribosomal RNA (253 nucleotides) under uncultured bacterium. RNAcentral describes it as "partial 16S ribosomal RNA". It matches the Rfam family "Bacterial small subunit ribosomal RNA", at positions 524 to 776 of the family's 1533-position model. The record is from RNAcentral.
UACGGAGGGGGCUAGCGUUGUUCGGAAUUACUGGGCGUAAAGCGUACGUAGGCGGCUUUGUAAGUUAGAGGUGAAAGCCCGGGGCUCAACUCCGGAAUUGCCUUUAAGACUGCAUCGCUUGAAUCAUGGAGAGGUGAGUGGAAUUCCGAGUGUAGAGGUGAAAUUCGUAGAUAUUCGGAAGAACACCAGUUGCGAAGGCGACUCACUGGACAUGUAUUGACGCUGAGGUACGAAAGCGUGGGGAUCAAACAGG